This is a long non-coding RNA of Capsicum annuum, 1689 nucleotides long. RefSeq lists it as uncharacterized. Lineage: Eukaryota; Viridiplantae; Streptophyta; Magnoliopsida; Solanales; Solanaceae. The transcript has 2 exons. The record is from RefSeq and is a predicted model, not a curated record.
UUGACCUCACUCGCACCCCUAGGCGAGUGGUUACACUCUCUUUGUCCUAGUCACCAUAACCUUGCCACAUAGGCAAGGUCAACGGUCAAAGAGUGCGAAAUGUUGCUUUUUGAUGGGUUCAUUGAUCCAGAUGACAAACAUAUAAGUAGAAGUGUCCACCUUACAAAACUGAAAUAGUACAGGGGUCCAAUAGAGCAUUUAUUAUACUUUCUUAUCUCAUCAAAUUUACUUGUGAAAUUAUACUAAAGUUAUUGUUGUUGAAGGUGGCCGAUAGUGUUGUUAUUUCAUGUUUGAAUCAACUUAUACACAUCAUACUUAUUGCUCGUCCUACUUUUAAUAUGGCAUCUAAACUGAUCGUAAGAUCCUGUUGGUCUUUGGUGCUCAGCCUUAACCAACCGACACACUAAGCAUUUAGCCACAUGCUCAACGACAUCCCUCUUAUACCUUUCCACCAACUGUAUGGGACUGAGGUCCAUGUUGUUCUGCUCGGGACCUUGAUGAACAUAUUAAGAGGCUCGAUGUCCUUUUAUUAAUGAGUUUAUGCCGUUCAGAUUGAUUUAGAGAACAACUUUGACGUAUAAUUUUUCAUCCAAAGCAUAAAUAAAUUCUAUAAUAUUUUUUUACUUUUUCUAAAAUUUCUCGCGUUUCUACUACACUUCAUCAAACAAAACAAUUAAAAGUUUUAAACUACAUUCAACAUUCAUACGUGCUAAAUCUUUUUUUUUUUACUUUCUUCUUUUUGGUAGGAAAAAGCUACGUGCUAAAUCAACUUUGCCGACUACUAGGAGUGGUUGCCCAACACAACUUGUCAUUGCUAUUUGCUAAUUCAAUUAAUUGACCUGUUAAACUUAUCUAAAAUAUAACUCCUUAGCAUUUAUUAAUAUUUUUAUUCACUGCUAAAAAAGUUAUAAAAAAACACGUAAGAGACCUCAAAAAUAGGUCAAAAAUAAGAGACCUCAUAAGGUCGCUUAUUACCUUAAUUUUUUUUUUUUAAAAAAUUCUUUUAGAAAAGAGACCUCAUGGGGUCAGUUAAUAAUAAAGAAAAAUACGUAAAAUAAUAAUAGUGAUUUUAUGAGAUCGAAAAUAAAUUCUGAAAUAAGUUAAAGCCUAAAUAUUUAAAAUUAUAUUAAAAAAAAUUAUAAAUAGUCACCUCAUGACGUCUCUUUAUUUUGGUCAAAGUGGUCAAAUUUUUUUUUUAAAUACAAUUUUUUCUUUUAUAUUUAAUAAAAAAAAUACAAACUCCAACACUCAUUUAGUAACACAAUUCAAUUGUCAAGCCUACCUCCCUCCUUCUUUGACAAAAUCCUUUUGCCGAAAUCGCUCAAAUCAGCCAAAUCACCAUUGCAUCGAUCUACCAAGGAGUGCGGAAAAAAAACUCGGGGGGAGGGGGGGCUGAUAACUCAGGCUGAUACAUUCAAGACUAUGCAUAAGAAAGAAGAAAACCUUUGGAGAUGGUCAAUAGAGAGGCGUGGCAGAGGAGCACGACAAUGAUGACGAUGAUCAUGAUCAUGUGGCAAACAUACCAUGGCGUCGUUAAAGUUUAGUGUUGCAGUAGAUAUCUAAAUUAUGUACUUUGUGGUGGUUUAUUUGAAUUAUUAAGUGUUUGAAUCUUUGAACUAGUCUGAAAUAGAAUUGUAUAUAUAACUUACGACUUCUAUGGUUUUCUCACUCAUUUUUGAAGUAUUUUAA